Molecule: ribosomal RNA, 1528 nt
Filed under: Klebsiella pneumoniae
Lineage: Bacteria; Pseudomonadati; Pseudomonadota; Gammaproteobacteria; Enterobacterales; Enterobacteriaceae
Description: bacterial SSU rRNA
Rfam family: Bacterial small subunit ribosomal RNA
Source: RNAcentral
AGAGUUUGAUCAUGGCUCAGAUUGAACGCUGGCGGCAGGCCUAACACAUGCAAGUCGAGCGGUAGCACAGAGAGCUUGCUCUCGGGUGACGAGCGGCGGACGGGUGAGUAAUGUCUGGGAAACUGCCUGAUGGAGGGGGAUAACUACUGGAAACGGUAGCUAAUACCGCAUAACGUCGCAAGACCAAAGUGGGGGACCUUCGGGCCUCAUGCCAUCAGAUGUGCCCAGAUGGGAUUAGCUAGUAGGUGGGGUAACGGCUCACCUAGGCGACGAUCCCUAGCUGGUCUGAGAGGAUGACCAGCCACACUGGAACUGAGACACGGUCCAGACUCCUACGGGAGGCAGCAGUGGGGAAUAUUGCACAAUGGGCGCAAGCCUGAUGCAGCCAUGCCGCGUGUGUGAAGAAGGCCUUCGGGUUGUAAAGCACUUUCAGCGGGGAGGAAGGCGAUAAGGUUAAUAACCUCAGCGAUUGACGUUACCCGCAGAAGAAGCACCGGCUAACUCCGUGCCAGCAGCCGCGGUAAUACGGAGGGUGCAAGCGUUAAUCGGAAUUACUGGGCGUAAAGCGCACGCAGGCGGUCUGUCAAGUCGGAUGUGAAAUCCCCGGGCUCAACCUGGGAACUGCAUUCGAAACUGGCAGGCUAGAGUCUUGUAGAGGGGGGUAGAAUUCCAGGUGUAGCGGUGAAAUGCGUAGAGAUCUGGAGGAAUACCGGUGGCGAAGGCGGCCCCCUGGACAAAGACUGACGCUCAGGUGCGAAAGCGUGGGGAGCAAACAGGAUUAGAUACCCUGGUAGUCCACGCCGUAAACGAUGUCGAUUUGGAGGUUGUGCCCUUGAGGCGUGGCUUCCGGAGCUAACGCGUUAAAUCGACCGCCUGGGGAGUACGGCCGCAAGGUUAAAACUCAAAUGAAUUGACGGGGGCCCGCACAAGCGGUGGAGCAUGUGGUUUAAUUCGAUGCAACGCGAAGAACCUUACCUGGUCUUGACAUCCACAGAACUUUCCAGAGAUGGAUUGGUGCCUUCGGGAACUGUGAGACAGGUGCUGCAUGGCUGUCGUCAGCUCGUGUUGUGAAAUGUUGGGUUAAGUCCCGCAACGAGCGCAACCCUUAUCCUUUGUUGCCAGCGGUUCGGCCGGGAACUCAAAGGAGACUGCCAGUGAUAAACUGGAGGAAGGUGGGGAUGACGUCAAGUCAUCAUGGCCCUUACGACCAGGGCUACACACGUGCUACAAUGGCAUAUACAAAGAGAAGCGACCUCGCGAGAGCAAGCGGACCUCAUAAAGUAUGUCGUAGUCCGGAUUGGAGUCUGCAACUCGACUCCAUGAAGUCGGAAUCGCUAGUAAUCGUAGAUCAGAAUGCUACGGUGAAUACGUUCCCGGGCCUUGUACACACCGCCCGUCACACCAUGGGAGUGGGUUGCAAAAGAAGUAGGUAGCUUAACCUUCGGGAGGGCGCUUACCACUUUGUGAUUCAUGACUGGGGUGAAGUCGUAACAAGGUAACCGUAGGGGAACCUGCGGUUGGAUCACCU